UAUAAGAUAAAAUCUUCAUAAAAAAUGGCAAAACACAUUUCCCAGUACUGUCUCUUGGCAAUUUUAUGCAUUGCGUUGGUUCUAACUUUAGGACCAACACCAAGUUUGAGCAACUGCAUUUAUCCUAUGCUUUGUGAUAGCUUUGUUAUUUGCGACGCAAGGUGCCGCGGAUUCGGGUUUUUAAGAGGAGUAUGUUCUGACUUUCCGGGAACCAUGUCUUGUUGCUGUGUGCAAUGAAAUAAAUUACAUUAUUAUAAAUAUUUAUAUAUAAAUAUUUACUAAAGACGUCAUCAACUAAAUAAGAAACAUCUUUCUCCAAAGCUUUUAUUUAUAUAUGUUUGAAGCAUAUAUAUCAAAUAUGGGCAUAAGAAUAAGUGAAGAACUUGAAAGUAGUGUGGCCAAGCUCAAUGUGAAAGAAAGCAAGAAAGAGCAUAUAAUAGUGUGUUGGACCAAUAAAACGGAGUACUUGACAAAAAAGAAACAAAUCAGAUUUGGUGUAUUUUCAUCUUGUACAACCGAGCAUUUCCAUAAAUAAUAUCUAUAUACUAAAUGUGUGAAUUAGUUGAUAAAUUAAUAAGAUCUAAUGAUAUAUGUAUA
Molecule: long non-coding RNA, 597 nt
Organism: Medicago truncatula (barrel medic)
Lineage: Eukaryota; Viridiplantae; Streptophyta; Magnoliopsida; Fabales; Fabaceae
Exons: 2
Source: RefSeq, a predicted model, not a curated record